GUGACCUCAAAUCAGGUAGGACUACCCGCUGAACUUAAGCAUAUCAAUAAGCGGAGGAAAAGAAACUAACAAGGAUUCCCCUAGUAACUGCGAGUGAAGCGGGAAAAGCUCAAAUUUAAAAUCUGGCGGUCUUUUGGCUGUCCGAGUUGUAAUCUAGAGAAGUGUUAUCCGCGCUGGACCGUGUACAAGUCUCCUGGAAUGGAGCAUCAUAGAGGGUGAGAAUCCCGUCUUUGACAUGGACUGCCAGGGCUUUUGUGAUGCGCUCUCAAAGAGUCGAGUUGUUUGGGAAUGCAGCUCAAAAUGGGUGGUAAAUUCCAUCUAAAGCUAAAUAUUGGCGAGAGACCGAUAGCGAACAAGUACCGUGAGGGAAAGAUGAAAAGAACUUUGGAAAGAGAGUUAAACAGUACGUGAAAUUGCUGAAAGGGAAACGCUUGAAGUCAGUCGCGUCAUCCAGGGAUCAACCUUGCUUUUGCUUGGUGCACUUCCUGGUUUGAUGGGUCAGCAUCAAUUUUGGCCGCUGGAAAAAGGCUGAGGGAAUGUGGCAUCUUCGGAUGUGUUAUAGCCCUUAGUCACAUACAGUGGCUGGGAUUGAGGAACUCAGCACGCCGCAAGGCCGGGUUUUAAACCACGUACGUGCUUAGGAUGCUGGCAAUAUGGCUUUAAUCGACCCGUC
This 673-nucleotide ribosomal RNA is filed under the name Cortinarius fulvescens. RNAcentral's name for it is "eukaryotic LSU rRNA". It matches the Rfam family "Eukaryotic large subunit ribosomal RNA", at positions 1 to 653 of the family's 3401-position model. Lineage: Eukaryota; Fungi; Basidiomycota; Agaricomycetes; Agaricales; Cortinariaceae. The record is from RNAcentral.